RNAcentral lists this unclassified non-coding RNA (413 nucleotides) under Clostridioides difficile. RNAcentral describes it as "16S-23S ribosomal RNA intergenic spacer (ISR)". Lineage: Bacteria; Bacillati; Bacillota; Clostridia; Peptostreptococcales; Peptostreptococcaceae. The record is from RNAcentral.
GCCUACUGUUUAAUUUUGAGGGUUCGUUUUUACGAAUACUCAAAAUUAGCACUUUUAGCAACAGAAUAAACUGAACGCAUGUGAAGUUUGUUUGUUGGCGACGUGCUUUAGCACUUUGAAAACUGCAUAUAUAUUUAGUGAUAUGACAUCUAAUUUGUAGUAUAUAAAGCUGAUAACUUUUUAAAAUUAUCGAAGUUGAUAGCUUCUAAUCUAUCAAACCUUUUUAACUGGUCAAGUUAUUAAGGGUGCAGGGCGGAUGCCUGAUUUAUCCGUUGGCGCCGUGCUUUAGCACUUUGAAAACUGCAUAUAUAUUUAGUGAUAUGACAUCUAAUUUGUAAUAUAUAAAGCUGAUAACUUUUUAAAAUUAUCGAAGUUGAUAGCUUCUAAUCUAUCAAACCUUUUUAACUGGUCAA